Molecule: ribosomal RNA, 567 nt
Filed under: uncultured Actinomycetes bacterium
Lineage: Bacteria; Bacillati; Actinomycetota; Actinomycetes
Description: bacterial SSU rRNA
Rfam family: Bacterial small subunit ribosomal RNA
Source: RNAcentral
ACUCCUACGGGAGGCAGCAGUGGGGAAUCUUGCGCAAUGGGCGAAAGCCUGACGCAGCAACGCCGCGUGGGGGAUGAAGGCUCUCGGGUUGUAAACCCCUUUCAGCAGGAACGAAAAUGACGGUACCUGCAGAAGAAGGCCCGGCCAACUACGUGCCAGCAGCCGCGGUAAUACGUAGGGGCCAAGCGUUGUCCGGAUUUAUUGGGCGUAAAGAGCUCGUAGGCGGUUUGGAUAGUCGGGUGUGAAAACUCCGAGCUCAACUCGGAGACGCCACCCGAUACUGCCAUGACUAGAGUCCGGUAGGGGAGCAGGGAAUUCCUGGUGUAGCGGUGAAAUGCGCAGAUAUCAGGAGGAACACCGGUGGCGAAGGCGCUGCUCUGGGCCGGUACUGACGCUGAGGAGCGAAAGCGUGGGUAGCAAACAGGAUUAGAUACCCUGGUAGUCCACGCCGUAAACGUUGGGCACUAGGUGUGGGCCCUAACCAACGGGGUCCGUGCCGCAGCUAACGCAUUAAGUUCCCCGCCUGGGGAGUACGGCCGCAAGGCUAAAACUCAAAUGAAUUGACGG